RNAcentral lists this ribosomal RNA (399 nucleotides) under uncultured bacterium. RNAcentral describes it as "bacterial SSU rRNA". It matches the Rfam family "Bacterial small subunit ribosomal RNA", at positions 28 to 417 of the family's 1533-position model. The record is from RNAcentral.
GACGAACGCUGGCGGCGUGCCUAAUACAUGCAAGUCGAGCGAAUCUUUAGGAGCUUGCUUCUAAAGGUUAGCGGCGGACGGGUGAGUAACACGUGGGCAACCUGCCUAUAAGACUGGGAUAACUUCGGGAAACCGGAGCUAAUACCGGAUAAUCCUUUCCUUCACAUGAAGGGAAGCUGAAAGACGGCAUCUCGCUGUCACUUAUAGAUGGGCCCGCGGCGCAUUAGCUAGUUGGGAGGUAACGGCUCACCAAGGCAACGAUGCGUAGCCGACCUGAGAGGGUGAUCGGCCACACUGGGACUGAGACACGGCCCAGACUCCUACGGGAGGCAGCAGUAGGGAAUCUUCCGCAAUGGACGAAAGUCUGACGGAGCAACGCCGCGUGAACGAUGAAGGCCU